Molecule: ribosomal RNA, 253 nt
Filed under: uncultured bacterium
Lineage: Bacteria
Description: partial 16S ribosomal RNA
Rfam family: Bacterial small subunit ribosomal RNA
Source: RNAcentral
UACGUAGGGUGCAAGCGUUAAUCGGAAUUACUGGGCGUAAAGCGUGCGCAGGCGGCUAUGCAAGACAGAUGUGAAAUCCCCAAGCUUAACUUGGGAACUGCAUUCGGGACUGCAAGGCUUGAGUGCGGCAGAGGAGACUGGAAUUCCUGGUGUCGCAGUGAAAUGCGUAGAUAUCAGGAGGAAUACCGAUGGCGAAGGCAGGUCUCUGGGCUGACACUGACGCUCAUGCACGAAAGCGUGGGGAGCAAACAGG